Molecule: ribosomal RNA, 497 nt
Filed under: uncultured bacterium
Lineage: Bacteria
Description: partial 16S ribosomal RNA
Rfam family: Bacterial small subunit ribosomal RNA
Source: RNAcentral
GAUGAACGCUGGCGGCGUGCCUAAUACAUGCAAGUCGAGCGAACAGACGAGGAGCUUGCUCCUUCGACGUUAGCGGCGGACGGGUGAGUAACACGUAGGUAACCUACCUAUAAGACUGGGAUAACUUCGGGAAACCGGAGCUAAUACCGGAUAAUAUUUCGAACCGCAUGGUUCGAUAGUGAAAGAUGGCUUUGCUAUCACUUAUAGAUGGACCUGCGCCGUAUUAGCUAGUUGGUAAGGUAACGGCUUACCAAGGCAACGAUACGUAGCCGACCUGAGAGGGUGAGCGCCCAAACUGGAACGGAGCCCCGUCCAGACCCCCGCGGGGAGGAGCAAGGGGGGAUUCUCCCGAAAGGGGAGAAAGCCGGAGGGGGCAACGCCGGGGGAGGAAGAAGGGUUUAGGGAUCGAAAAAUCUGUUAAUGAGGGAAAAAAAAAGGUGAAAGUACCUUGGCACGCCUGGACGGUACAUAACAAGAAACCCAGGGCUAAUUCGUGC